RNAcentral lists this ribosomal RNA (492 nucleotides) under Globicatella sp. canine oral taxon 107. RNAcentral describes it as "bacterial SSU rRNA". It matches the Rfam family "Bacterial small subunit ribosomal RNA", at positions 9 to 484 of the family's 1533-position model. The record is from RNAcentral. Lineage: Bacteria; Bacillati; Bacillota; Bacilli; Lactobacillales; Aerococcaceae.
GAGUUUGAUUAUGGCUCAGGACGAACGCUGGCGGCGUGCCUAAUACAUGCAAGUCGAACGAACGGAAGGAGAACUUGUUCUUUGGAAGUGAGUGGCGCACGGGUGAGUAACACGUGGGAAACCUACCCUUCAGCGGGGGAUAACACUGGGAAACGAGUGCUAAUACCGCAUAGAGCAUCUAGUUGCAUGACUGGAUGAGGAAAGACGCUACGGCGUCACUGAAGGAUGGUCCCGCGGUGCAUUAGCUAGUUGGUAAGGUAGCGGCUUACCAAGGCGAUGAUGCAUAGCCGACCUGAGAGGGUGAUCGGCCACAUUGGGACUGAGACACGGCCCAAACUCCUACGGGAGGCAGCAGUAGGGAAUCUUCCGCAAUGGACGCAAGUCUGACGGAGCAACGCCGCGUGAGUGAAGAACGGUUUUCGGAUCGUAAAGCUCUGUUGUUAGAGAAGAAUAGCUACGANGAGGGAAUGUUCGUAGAGUGACGUUCNACCG